GCAAGAUGAAUUUGCCUUAAGUUUUGUUAUAGCAACCUGAAAUGAAUAAGACAAGUAUUAUCAAGAGUAACUGCACAUAUUUAUGGAAAUCACAACAUGAUAUAAAAAAAUUACAAAGAAAAAAUAUCUUAAGGAGACAAUUUGUAACUUUUUCGCAGAGAGCUUAGAAAUAAAAAACAAACAUAUAAAACCCAGCUCUUUUGUGAUUUAUAAAGCACAGGCUGAAUAGGGCCAUAUACAAAUAUUUAAAUAUUUAACAUACAAGAGGAUAAGUUUCAAACAUUUUUACAAGGUGUUAUAUUCAAAUACAGAGCUUAAUGAAUUAAACUCUGUAACACACUGAUGUCUAGACAUGAAAGAAAACUUGCUUCAGGUUUAAUAAAAUACAUUUUAAUUGUAUAAUAUGCUAAAUACAAAUGCAAUAAUCUCAGCUUAUUCACACUUAUAUGACAUCCUGUGACUACACUGUUGCCCAACUUCUACAUAAUCUUUACAUGAAAAUGUGGAGUAGGGAUGGAUGUUUAUAGACUAAAAACUAGAUUUUGGAGAUCAUGAAAACAAAGAAAAAGGGUACUUCUCCUUCUUCUAAAUAUUUGCAUAGGUAUGAGCUACUGUAGUUUGUGGAAUACCAAAUAAUUUAAUGUCAAAAUAGUUUUAAGGACUUUUAUCAAAGUCAUUUGUAUCCAGAGUUUAAAAUUUGAGUAGUGUUAAUAGCUUUAAAAGAAAAAAAAAGAAAACAAAAAAAGCAAAGAGUAGUCUCUAGUCUCUGACCUUCCCUCUACCAUCCCUGUCCUGGUUGCUGUCCCAAGUAAGAGCCUUUUCUAUCAUUUUAAUUGUUAUUCUGGCAGAUAUAUCUGUAUUUCUAAUAUCUAUCAUACUCUUGAAUCAUCUGUCUUAAAACAGACUGCUUGGUACUGAAUCCUAGUACCAGACUUACCAGCUUUUUGAACUUUGGCAAAUUACAUAACAUUUUAACGCCUCAGUUUACUGAUCUAUAAAAUGGAAAUAAUAAAACCUGCCACAUAGGCUUAUUGGGAGGAUUAAAUGUUGAAAAUUCUGUAUGUGUAAUACCUGCUUAUAAUAUAAUGAUCAUAUAGUAGUAACUAUUAUUAAUUUUAUUACUACCUUAUGGUAAGUGAGUGAGGAUUUGAAUUCUCAAUCAAUUCUUUCUCCAUCCUAAAAUAGUUGUAGCAUAUCAGUUUUUUAAAAAAUUACAUUCAUUGUUUCCAUCCUUAUGUCCUUCCUAUAUCUGCAGCAACUUUAGAUUAAUGAGAUUUUCAUUUUGUAUCCUCUAAAACAAUUUACAAGAGAGAUGGUAAACUAGCUAAGAUGCUGAGCCAUUGGAAUUUUCUGGGUAACUUUCAAUUUGCCAAAUGCCAAAUCACUGCUAUUUCUGGACUAUAAGAAACUGGAAUAUAGAACUUUUAUUGUAGCUUUAUGUGCUUUUAUUAAAAUCUUUGUGAAACAUGUACCACUACUGCAGUUACUAUAACAUCUUUAUUACUCACUUACUUUUGCCUUCUAUUUUCAUCAUUUUCAAAGCUAAGCAUACUUGAGA
This 1558-nucleotide long non-coding RNA is filed under the name Homo sapiens (human). RNAcentral describes it as "HSALNT0057400". Lineage: Eukaryota; Metazoa; Chordata; Mammalia; Primates; Hominidae. The record is from RNAcentral.